RNAcentral lists this ribosomal RNA (459 nucleotides) under uncultured bacterium. Its description in RNAcentral is "partial 16S ribosomal RNA". It matches the Rfam family "Bacterial small subunit ribosomal RNA", at positions 338 to 795 of the family's 1533-position model. The record is from RNAcentral.
CCUACGGGCGGCAGCAGUGAGGAAUAUUGGUCAAUGGUCGGGAGACUGAACCAGCCAAGCCGCGUGAGGGAUGAAGGUACAGAGUAUCGUAAACCUCUUUUGUCAGGGAACAAAGGCGGGGACGCGUCCCCGGAUGAGUGUACCUGAAGAAAAAGCAUCGGCUAAAUCCGUGCCAGCAGCCGCGGUAAUACGGAGGAUGCGAGCGUUAUCCGGAUUUAUUGGGUUCAAAGGGUGCGCAGCCGGUCGGGAAAGUCAGCGGGCAAAGCCCGGGGCUCAACCCCGGCCCGCCGUUGAAACUGGCAGUCUCGAGUUGGAGAGAAGUAUGCGGAAUGCGCGGUGUAGCGGUGAAAUGCAUAGAGAGCGCGCAGAACUCCGAUUGCGAAGGCAGCAUGCCGGCUCCACACUGACGCUGAGGCACGAAAGCGUGGGUAUCGAACAGGAUUAGAUACCCGUGUAGUC